This 2921-nucleotide ribosomal RNA is filed under the name Staphylococcus aureus. RNAcentral describes it as "bacterial LSU rRNA". It matches the Rfam family "Bacterial large subunit ribosomal RNA". The record is from RNAcentral. Lineage: Bacteria; Bacillati; Bacillota; Bacilli; Caryophanales; Staphylococcaceae.
UUAAGUUAUUAAGGGCGCACGGUGGAUGCCUUGGCACUAGAAGCCGAUGAAGGACGUUACUAACGACGAUAUGCUUUGGGGAGCUGUAAGUAAGCUUUGAUCCAGAGAUUUCCGAAUGGGGAAACCCAGCAUGAGUUAUGUCAUGUUAUCGAUAUGUGAAUACAUAGCAUAUCAGAAGGCACACCCGGAGAACUGAAACAUCUUAGUACCCGGAGGAAGAGAAAGAAAAUUCGAUUCCCUUAGUAGCGGCGAGCGAAACGGGAAGAGCCCAAACCAACAAGCUUGCUUGUUGGGGUUGUAGGACACUCUAUACGGAGUUACAAAGGACGACAUUAGACGAAUCAUCUGGAAAGAUGAAUCAAAGAAGGUAAUAAUCCUGUAGUCGAAAAUGUUGUCUCUCUUGAGUGGAUCCUGAGUACGACGGAGCACGUGAAAUUCCGUCGGAAUCUGGGAGGACCAUCUCCUAAGGCUAAAUACUCUCUAGUGACCGAUAGUGAACCAGUACCGUGAGGGAAAGGUGAAAAGCACCCCGGAAGGGGAGUGAAAUAGAACCUGAAACCGUGUGCUUACAAGUAGUCAGAGCCCGUUAAUGGGUGAUGGCGUGCCUUUUGUAGAAUGAACCGGCGAGUUACGAUUUGAUGCAAGGUUAAGCAGUAAAUGUGGAGCCGUAGCGAAAGCGAGUCUGAAUAGGGCGUUUAGUAUUUGGUCGUAGACCCGAAACCAGGUGAUCUACCCUUGGUCAGGUUGAAGUUCAGGUAACACUGAAUGGAGGACCGAACCGACUUACGUUGAAAAGUGAGCGGAUGAACUGAGGGUAGCGGAGAAAUUCCAAUCGAACCUGGAGAUAGCUGGUUCUCUCCGAAAUAGCUUUAGGGCUAGUCUCAAGUGAUGAUUAUUGGAGGUAGAGCACUGUUUGGACGAGGGGCCCCUCUCGGGUUACCGAAUUCAGACAAACUCCGAAUGCCAAUUAAUUUAACUUGGGAGUCAGAACAUGGGUGAUAAGGUCCGUGUUCGAAAGGGAAACAGCCCAGACCACCAGCUAAGGUCCCAAAAUAUAUGUUAAGUGGAAAAGGAUGUGGCGUUGCCCAGACAACUAGGAUGUUGGCUUAGAAGCAGCCAUCAUUUAAAGAGUGCGUAAUAGCUCACUAGUCGAGUGACACUGCGCCGAAAAUGUACCGGGGCUAAACAUAUUACCGAAGCUGUGGAUUGUCCUUUGGACAAUGGUAGGAGAGCGUUCUAAGGGCGUUGAAGCAUGAUCGUAAGGACAUGUGGAGCGCUUAGAAGUGAGAAUGCCGGUGUGAGUAGCGAAAGACGGGUGAGAAUCCCGUCCACCGAUUGACUAAGGUUUCCAGAGGAAGGCUCGUCCGCUCUGGGUUAGUCGGGUCCUAAGCUGAGGCCGACAGGCGUAGGCGAUGGAUAACAGGUUGAUAUUCCUGUACCACCUAUAAUCGUUUUAAUCGAUGGGGGGACGCAGUAGGAUAGGCGAAGCGUGCGAUUGGAUUGCACGUCUAAGCAGUAAGGCUGAGUAUUAGGCAAAUCCGGUACUCGUUAAGGCUGAGCUGUGAUGGGGAGAAGACGUUGUGUCUUCGAGUCGUUGAUUUCACACUGCCGAGAAAAGCCUCUAGAUAGAAAAUAGGUGCCCGUACCGCAAACCGACACAGGUAGUCAAGAUGAGAAUUCUAAGGUGAGCGAGCGAACUCUCGUUAAGGAACUCGGCAAAAUGACCCCGUAACUUCGGGAGAAGGGGUGCUCUUUAGGGUUAACGCCCAGAAGAGCCGCAGUGAAUAGGCCCAAGCGACUGUUUAUCAAAAACACAGGUCUCUGCUAAACCGUAAGGUGAUGUAUAGGGGCUGACGCCUGCCCGGUGCUGGAAGGUUAAGAGGAGUGGUUAGCUUCUGCGAAGCUACGAAUCGAAGCCCCAGUAAACGGCGGCCGUAACUAUAACGGUCCUAAGGUAGCGAAAUUCCUUGUCGGGUAAGUUCCGACCCGCACGAAAGGCGUAACGAUUUGGGCACUGUCUCAACGAGAGACUCGGUGAAAUCAUAGUACCUGUGAAGAUGCAGGUUACCCGCGACAGGACGGAAAGACCCCGUGGAGCUUUACUGUAGCCUGAUAUUGAAAUUCGGCACAGCUUGUACAGGAUAGGUAGGAGCCUUUGAAACGUGAGCGCUAGCUUACGUGGAGGCGCUGGUGGGAUACUACCCUAGCUGUGUUGGCUUUCUAACCUGCACCACUUAUCGUGGUGGGAGACAGUGUCAGGCGGGCAGUUUGACUGGGGCGGUCGCCUCCUAAAAGGUAACGGAGGCGCUCAAAGGUUCCCUCAGAAUGGUUGGAAAUCAUUCAUAGAGUGUAAAGGCAUAAGGGAGCUUGACUGCGAGACCUACAAGUCGAGCAGGGUCGAAAGACGGACUUAGUGAUCCGGUGGUUCCGCAUGGAAGGGCCAUCGCUCAACGGAUAAAAGCUACCCCGGGGAUAACAGGCUUAUCUCCCCCAAGAGUUCACAUCGACGGGGAGGUUUGGCACCUCGAUGUCGGCUCAUCGCAUCCUGGGGCUGUAGUCGGUCCCAAGGGUUGGGCUGUUCGCCCAUUAAAGCGGUACGCGAGCUGGGUUCAGAACGUCGUGAGACAGUUCGGUCCCUAUCCGUCGUGGGCGUAGGAAAUUUGAGAGGAGCUGUCCUUAGUACGAGAGGACCGGGAUGGACAUACCUCUGGUGUACCAGUUGUCGUGCCAACGGCAUAGCUGGGUAGCUAUGUGUGGACGGGAUAAGUGCUGAAAGCAUCUAAGCAUGAAGCCCCCCUCAAGAUGAGAUUUCCCAACUUCGGUUAUAAGAUCCCUCAAAGAUGAUGAGGUUAAUAGGUUCGAGGUGGAAGCAUGGUGACAUGUGGAGCUGACGAAUACUAAUCGAUCGAAGACUUAAUCAA